GACAGAGGUGCCGAGCGUUAGGCGGAAUCACUGGGCUUAAAGCGUGUGUAGGCGGGCCGUUAAGUGUCUUGUGAAAUCCCCCGGCUCAACCGGGGAAUUGCUGGGCAUACUGGCGGUCUUGAGCAAUCUAGGGGCAGAUGGAACAAGUGGUGGAGCGGUGAAAUGCGUAGAGAUCGGGAGGAACACCAGUGGCGAAGGCGGCUCUCUGGACCGGUUCUGACGCUCAGGCGCGAAAGCGUGGGGAGCGAUCCGG
This 253-nucleotide ribosomal RNA is filed under the name uncultured bacterium. RNAcentral's name for it is "partial 16S ribosomal RNA". It matches the Rfam family "Bacterial small subunit ribosomal RNA", at positions 524 to 776 of the family's 1533-position model. The record is from RNAcentral.